GGACUACCCGGGUAUCUAAUCCCGUUCGCUACCCUAGCUUUCGCGCCUCAGCGUCAGAAGAGGUCCAGCACGUCGCUUUCGCCACCGGCGUUCCUUCCGAUAUCAACGCAUUUCACCGCUCCACCGGAAGUUCCACAUGCCCCUACCUCGCUCAAGUCCACCAGUUUCCAAGGCACUUUUCCGGUUAAGCCGAAAGAUUUCACCCCGGACUUGGUAGACCGCCUACGCGCCCUUUAAGCCCAGUGAUUCCGAACAACGUUCGCACGGUUCGUCUUACCGCGGCUGCUGGCAC
Molecule: ribosomal RNA, 292 nt
Filed under: uncultured Planctomycetota bacterium
Lineage: Bacteria; Pseudomonadati; Planctomycetota
Description: uncultured planctomycete partial 16S ribosomal RNA
Source: RNAcentral